This is a long non-coding RNA of Suricata suricatta (meerkat), 517 nucleotides long. RefSeq lists it as uncharacterized. NCBI's taxonomy places the organism in Eukaryota, Metazoa, Chordata, Mammalia, Carnivora, Herpestidae. The transcript has 4 exons. The record is from RefSeq and is a predicted model, not a curated record.
AUAGAUACCCUGAGAAUGCUUUCGAAAGGGUGAUCUGAAACACAGUGUGACUCCAAAUCUCUAUCCAUGGUUGACGGAGGGCUCCAGAGUGGCUGAAAAGCUGCCUCGUGGCCGCCCAGAGAGGCUCAGGCAGAAGCCCGGCCCCAGGGGGUGCCCGAGGGGCCCUCACAGGUCACCAGGCUCCUUGUCGUGCCUCCGGGUCUGCUGGUGAGGGGCCUCGGGCGCCCUCGGGCUUCUCCUAGGCGCCUGCAGCCCGGAGCCCGAGCCGGGGCUGGCGGAGGCCAGGGGCCCGCAGACAGAAGGAAGACAGAUCCCUGCUGAAGCCAGGAGCUUUCUGUCAUUUCCUACUCUCCUCUGGAAUGUUUCCAAGGCUCAGACUCAGUGAGGUACGAACCCGUGGACCGGGGCUCCUGUGACAGUCAUACUGCGUCAGAGCAGACCGACUGUAUGAACAAGAGCUGGUCCACCAUGGUGAUUAAGAGCACAGACUGGGUAUGGCUUUUGACUCCAUUUGCUG